UUAUUUCAAACUACGUUAUGUAAUAACUCGUACCUCAUGUAUGUAUGUAAAAAUGUAAUAUUUGUUGAUGCUUUCCCAUCGUGGAAGUAAUCCUGGUGUAUGGCUAUGAGACGUGACGUGGAUCUUUCGAGGAGUCCUAGGGACACUCGACGGACUACCGGACUUAUACUGUUUUAAGUGCGUUUUGGAUAAUUGCUGUUCCAACAGCGAUUAAGCGCAUUUAAGCUAGUUUAAGUUGGGCGGUUCCGCCACAGGGCGCAAGGGGUCGGACGCGCCCGACCCCCCGUCGCAAGGCUCCGUCUCGCCCGACCCCGGGCGCUAAGGGUCGGACGUGUUCGGACCCACAGGAUAGAGCUUCGCCUCGCCCAAGGACGUGAGCGGACCAGCAG
This 389-nucleotide long non-coding RNA is filed under the name Setaria viridis. RNAcentral describes it as "long non-coding RNA (SVIR_LNC008047)". The record is from RNAcentral. Lineage: Eukaryota; Viridiplantae; Streptophyta; Magnoliopsida; Poales; Poaceae.